Molecule: ribosomal RNA, 1549 nt
Filed under: Klebsiella pneumoniae
Lineage: Bacteria; Pseudomonadati; Pseudomonadota; Gammaproteobacteria; Enterobacterales; Enterobacteriaceae
Description: bacterial SSU rRNA
Rfam family: Bacterial small subunit ribosomal RNA
Source: RNAcentral
AAAUUGAAGAGUUUGAUCAUGGCUCAGAUUGAACGCUGGCGGCAGGCCUAACACAUGCAAGUCGAGCGGUAGCACAGAGAGCUUGCUCUCGGGUGACGAGCGGCGGACGGGUGAGUAAUGUCUGGGAAACUGCCUGAUGGAGGGGGAUAACUACUGGAAACGGUAGCUAAUACCGCAUAAUGUCGCAAGACCAAAGUGGGGGACCUUCGGGCCUCAUGCCAUCAGAUGUGCCCAGAUGGGAUUAGCUAGUAGGUGGGGUAACGGCUCACCUAGGCGACGAUCCCUAGCUGGUCUGAGAGGAUGACCAGCCACACUGGAACUGAGACACGGUCCAGACUCCUACGGGAGGCAGCAGUGGGGAAUAUUGCACAAUGGGCGCAAGCCUGAUGCAGCCAUGCCGCGUGUGUGAAGAAGGCCUUCGGGUUGUAAAGCACUUUCAGCGGGGAGGAAGGCGUUAAGGUUAAUAACCUUGGCGAUUGACGUUACCCGCAGAAGAAGCACCGGCUAACUCCGUGCCAGCAGCCGCGGUAAUACGGAGGGUGCAAGCGUUAAUCGGAAUUACUGGGCGUAAAGCGCACGCAGGCGGUCUGUCAAGUCGGAUGUGAAAUCCCCGGGCUCAACCUGGGAACUGCAUUCGAAACUGGCAGGCUAGAGUCUUGUAGAGGGGGGUAGAAUUCCAGGUGUAGCGGUGAAAUGCGUAGAGAUCUGGAGGAAUACCGGUGGCGAAGGCGGCCCCCUGGACAAAGACUGACGCUCAGGUGCGAAAGCGUGGGGAGCAAACAGGAUUAGAUACCCUGGUAGUCCACGCCGUAAACGAUGUCGAUUUGGAGGUUGUGCCCUUGAGGCGUGGCUUCCGGAGCUAACGCGUUAAAUCGACCGCCUGGGGAGUACGGCCGCAAGGUUAAAACUCAAAUGAAUUGACGGGGGCCCGCACAAGCGGUGGAGCAUGUGGUUUAAUUCGAUGCAACGCGAAGAACCUUACCUGGUCUUGACAUCCACAGAACUUUCCAGAGAUGGAUUGGUGCCUUCGGGAACUGUGAGACAGGUGCUGCAUGGCUGUCGUCAGCUCGUGUUGUGAAAUGUUGGGUUAAGUCCCGCAACGAGCGCAACCCUUAUCCUUUGUUGCCAGCGGUCGGCCGGGAACUCAAAGGAGACUGCCAGUGAUAAACUGGAGGAAGGUGGGGAUGACGUCAAGUCAUCAUGGCCCUUACGACCAGGGCUACACACGUGCUACAAUGGCAUAUACAAAGAGAAGCGACCUCGCGAGAGCAAGCGGACCUCAUAAAGUAUGUCGUAGUCCGGAUUGGAGUCUGCAACUCGACUCCAUGAAGUCGGAAUCGCUAGUAAUCGUAGAUCAGAAUGCUACGGUGAAUACGUUCCCGGGCCUUGUACACACCGCCCGUCACACCAUGGGAGUGGGUUGCAAAAGAAGUAGGUAGCUUAACCUUCGGGAGGGCGCUUACCACUUUGUGAUUCAUGACUGGGGUGAAGUCGUAACAAGGUAACCGUAGGGGAACCUGCGGUUGGAUCACCUCCUUACCUUAAAGAA